Pantherophis guttatus is the source of this 740-nucleotide long non-coding RNA. RefSeq lists it as uncharacterized. The record is from RefSeq and is a predicted model, not a curated record. NCBI's taxonomy places the organism in Eukaryota, Metazoa, Chordata, Lepidosauria, Squamata, Colubridae.
UGUGGCUAGUUUUGGAAAGCCCUGUCAUUUGAAAUUACAAUCACAGGACAGAGUCAGGUGCUAUUAGCUAUGGAAGUGACAGUUGAAAAUGCUAGUCUGAUCAAGUAUGUACAGAAGAUGAUUUUUGACUGGCUGACUCCAUCAUCCCACUGCUAACCUGUCUACCCUAACAAGCUCCUGGAAUCCAGAACUUCUCUAACAUGAGGCUGUGAUUGCUCCAGCCUUCAUCUUGCUGCUUAUUCAAUAAAAUUGUAUUUGCAGAAGGACUCAUCUGGUGUAAAAAGAAAUUUCAUGAAAGCUGCCUUAGAAAGGGCAAGACUGAAUUCAUCCCAGAAGGAAAAUGUCAGAGUAAUUUGUAUCAUUCACUAGUCUGCCGUGUCACUUUUAUUCCUUUGCUUUUGGUAGAUCAGUGCCCCCAAAUCAGUGUUUUCCUUUCAUGUAAAGUAGAGUGACAGAAUUUAUCGACAAAUUGGAAAGAGUUCAGAGGAUAGCUGAAGAGAUAAUGAAGGCAAUGGCACUCUGAAGCAAAAAGUCCAGGAUGAAAGAGAUAAGCAGCAUUGCAGUGACCAAGGAUUUGCCUGGGUGAGUGGGGGGGACUAUGCAUAUCUGAAUGAGUUACCCAAUAGUUAGCAGUACUGAUAUGCUUCUGUGAACUAUUUCUAAACAACAGGCAAAUGCCUUCAAGAAAGAAGAGACCUUUUCCAGUCCAUGAAUGCUACAUUAAAAAACCUUGAACUUUU